This 811-nucleotide ribosomal RNA is filed under the name uncultured Prochlorococcus sp. RNAcentral describes it as "eukaryotic LSU rRNA". Lineage: Bacteria; Bacillati; Cyanobacteriota; Cyanophyceae; Synechococcales; Prochlorococcaceae. The record is from RNAcentral.
AACAUCGAACUGGUAAGUUAAGUUAUUUUAGAUAUUGGUGUUGAUUCUAUUUAAUCAAUUAGUCAAUAGAAAUUAAUUAUUCACUAACCUAAUAUCUUUAAUUCGAGAUUGAGUUCUUAAUUUGUAUUUUUUGCUUAAUAAAUUAAAAUUUAUUAUCAAGAGAUACGUAGAUACUCUACGAAAUAAAAAAGGUCUGAAAGGAUACGUCAACAGUUCCAAGAUGACUUAGUUUGACUAUAAUUUUUUAUAGUCACUCGGGUCACAGAAUAGUCGGAAUUUACUACUUCCAUACUAUCCUUCGAUCCAAGUAAGUCUACUUGUUGAGAUUUAGUGUAAUUUGUUUAUUGUUAGAGGUUAAACUCAAUAGUCCAUCAACUAGUCACCUCCAUUCGCCUGAGCUUGGCGACUGUAGGACGAACGUUUCGUCCGCGAGAUGGUUGACUCGAUAUGGGGGUUGUUGCCUUACCCGGUAGGACCUGAACUUGGUCCCUGGAGUGGGAAUAGUCCCCACGCGAGAUUGGCGGACUCGAUUAUCGGGUCCUCUUUCAAAAACCCACACUGGAUCUGUUCAAAUCCUUGAUUUUAGUUAGUAGUUAGAGGUUCGACUAAUUAGUCGAAAAGAAACUAAGAGUUGAACUCCAUGGCUAGCUGGAUUCCACUGUCCUAGUACCGGAUUCAUAGUUAUUGAGUCUGUAGUGCUAGUCAACAACAGAGGGACAAUCCUCCACUAGGUCGGCGUGGAAGGCCAUGCCGAUGGAACAAUGCUGAAGUGGGGUCAGUAGUCGGGGUGGAAGCCGCAGGAGGAGGUGUU